GAUGAAGAACGUAGCGAAAUGCGAUAAUUAAUGUGAAUUGCAGAAUUCAGUGAAUCAUCGAGUCUUUGAACGCACAUUGCGCCCCUUGGUAUUCCGAGGGGCAUGCCUGUUCGAGCGUCAUUAUAACCCCUCAAGCUCAGCUUGGUGUUGGGGCCUGCUGCACUGGCAGCCCUUAAAAUCAGUGGCGGCGCCAUCUGGCUCUAAGCGUAGUAAUUCUUCUCGCUAUGGAGUCCUGGUGGAUGCUUGCCAUCAACCCCCAAUUUUUCUAUGGUUGACCUCGGAUCAGGUAGGGAUACCCGCUGAACUUAAGCAUAUCAAUAAGCGGAGGA
RNAcentral lists this unclassified non-coding RNA (329 nucleotides) under soil metagenome. RNAcentral describes it as "partial contains 5.8S ribosomal RNA, internal transcribed spacer 2, and large subunit ribosomal RNA". The stretch from base 1 to 120 matches the Rfam family "5.8S ribosomal RNA", at positions 35 to 154 of the family's 154-position model. The record is from RNAcentral.